GAUGAACGCUGGCGGCGUGCCUAAUACAUGCAAGUCGAGCGAACAGACGAGGAGCUUGCUCCUCUGACGUUAGCGGCGGACGGGUGAGUAACACGUGGAUAACCUACCUAUAAGACUGGGAUAACUUCGGGAAACCGGAGCUAAUACCGGAUAAUAUAUUGAACCGCAUGGUUCAAUAGUGAAAGACGGUUUUGCUGUCACUUAUAGAUGGAUCCGCGCCGCAUUAGCUAGUUGGUAAGGUAACGGCUUACCAAGGCAACGAUGCGUAGCCGACCUGAGAGGGUGAUCGGCCACACUGGAACUGAGACACGGUCCAGACUCCUACGGGAGGCAGCAGUAGGGAAUCUUCCGCAAUGGGUGAAAGCCUGACGGAGCAACGCCGCGUGAGUGAUGAAGGUCUUCGGAUCGUAAAACUCUGUUAUUAGGGAAGAACAAAUGUGUAAGUAACUAUGCACGUCUUGACGGUACCUAAUCAGAAAGCCACAGCUAACUACGUG
Molecule: ribosomal RNA, 497 nt
Filed under: uncultured bacterium
Lineage: Bacteria
Description: partial 16S ribosomal RNA
Rfam family: Bacterial small subunit ribosomal RNA
Source: RNAcentral